This 253-nucleotide ribosomal RNA is filed under the name uncultured bacterium. Its description in RNAcentral is "partial 16S ribosomal RNA". It matches the Rfam family "Bacterial small subunit ribosomal RNA", at positions 524 to 776 of the family's 1533-position model. The record is from RNAcentral.
UACGUAGGGUGCGAGCGUUGUCCGGAAUUAUUGGGCGUAAAGAGCUCGUAGGCGGCCUGUCGCGUCGGAUGUGAAAGCCCGGGGCUUAACCCCGGAUCUGCAUUCGAUACGGGCAGGCUAGAGUUCGGUAGGGGAGAUCGGAAUUCCUGGUGUAGCGGUGAAAUGCGCAGAUAUCAGGAGGAACACCGAUGGCGAAGGCAGGUCUCUGGGCCGCAACUGACGCUGAGGAGCGAAAGCAUGGGGAGCGAACAGG